RNAcentral lists this ribosomal RNA (467 nucleotides) under uncultured bacterium. RNAcentral's name for it is "partial 16S ribosomal RNA". It matches the Rfam family "Bacterial small subunit ribosomal RNA", at positions 29 to 507 of the family's 1533-position model. The record is from RNAcentral.
ACGAACGCUGGCGGCGUGCUUAACACAUGCCAGUCGAACGGAAAGGCCCUGCUUUUGUGGGGUGCUCGAGUGGCGAACGGGUGAGUAACACGUGAGUAACCUGCCCUUGACUUUGGGAUAACUUCAGGAAACUGGGGCUAAUACCGGAUAGGAGCUCCUGCUGCCUGGUGGGGGUUGGAAAGUUUCGGCGGUUGGGGCUGGACUCGCGGCUUAUCAGCUUGUUGGUGGGGUAGUGGCUUACCAAGGCUUUGACGGGUAGCCGGCCUGAGAGGGUGACCGGCCACAUUGGGACUGAGAUACGGCCCAGACUCCUACGGGAGGCAGCAGUGGGGAAUAUUGCACAAUGGGCGGAAGCCUGAUGCAGCAACGCCGCGUGCGGGAUGACGGCCUUCGGGUUGUAAACCGCUUUCGCCUGUGACGAAGCGUGAGUGACGGUAAUGGGUAAAGAAGCACCGGCUAACUACGUG